AUUAUUUGUUCAGUGUGAAUGAGCACAGAUACUGGAUGCUUUCUUUCCUCCAUCCUGCUCACUGAGCAGUGAUGAUGCAUAUUUGGAAUAAGUGCACAUCUAAAGGGCACAAACAGUGAAGCUGUGAACUCUCUGCAGUCACUCCAUCAUCUAAAGACACUGUGGAUGUGACACAGAGAGGAAACUCGGCUUUUCUUCCUGCUCUUUCUCUCGCUUCACUUUCCUGUUAAACUUUGGAAGCACAAAUCAAAGACAGUCAGAGGAACUCAGCCAGACCAGCUACUGCUCCAUCUACAGGUGGAGAGCACCACCCACGUGUCUUUAGGAGAACCAGAGUCACAAAGUAACAGAGUGAAGAGCAGCAGAUGAAGCACAGAGGACACAAAAAGGAAGGAAAGAAGGAAACAAGGUCCAUCUGUGUCCUUUCAAAUAAGCAUCAAGGUUUCAUAUCUAAUGAAUAUAAAGCUGUGACCUAGAACCAGCUGGAAACACACAGUUCAUACAGAAGUGAUUUUAUCACAAUAUAUAUCAGGAAAUCAUUCAGUCUUCAUGGAUCCACAUUGAUGACACGGCACAGUUACAUCCUGGUGUCACUGAUGUGUCGGGUUCCUGGUGUAUUUAAACCCUCAUGUUCUCUCUGCUCAGCGUCAUUGUUGAUGUUAAUGUGCUCGACUCUGUACAUGUGUUCGCUUCAGUCAUUUCAGCUCAGCCAGUCAUCCUGUGUUCGUGAUAAUAAACACCAGCCUUCACCUACCUGUGAGUCCUUUCCUCACCCACACAGCAACCACUGACAUGAUGGGGACCACCUACUGUGGGGACUGUUCCCAGUCGGGCUUGCAAAGCGGCAGCUCUGCUUGGAAGUGUUUCCAGAAGCUGGAGGCCAACAGGAGCUGAUUCAAAGCUGCACAGAGCCCAUUUACAUGCAGCCUAAGUUAUGUUUGUUUGUUAUCAUUGCCACAUGUCCCCACAUCACAUGCAGCCAAUCAUAAAGUUACUCACAAUAGAGCUCAAGGAUUUUACAUUUGCACCAUUUCAUUCUUGUGAUAGUUAAACUGAGUUAUUAGGAUAAAAUCCUUUUCAAAACAGCCAAAUAAACCUGCCAUAAAAACAGGCAUGUAUCUGACUGUGUCAGCUGAGUUAUUAGUUACAACUCACCCAGCUUUUUCAUUGGCUGUCCUCUUACAUGUGACCUUGGCUACAUUUUUGCUGAGUCAGAGUUUUCUAUCAGAUUUCUCCACCCUGAGGUCAGGGGUCAGCUCUGUCUCACACUCAGUACAAACCACCAGCAUCACUCAGUCUGCAGGUGUCACAUUAGUCGACUGGUAGUGACGGUUGUGCCGAUGCAGUGGAUUUACCACAUGUGAACUUCCUGCAGUAUUUUGACACAGAUGUGCAUUCAGAUCUAUCCAACUGAGCCUGUCUUGGAUCAGCACAACCACCACGAGCAGCCCUCUAACAUCACACCUCAGCCUGUGGAAUAUUCACCUGUUAGUACUGAGCUGGAGAGAAACUGAGCCUGUCAGCCACAGAUCACUAAACUGUUGUCCUACAGACAACUCUGCAAACACAUCUUUACAUCCUGUCACACAUCAUUUGCACCUUUGGAUGAACUUUAGCAAAGGUCACGUAUUAAAAAACAAAAACAGCCGAUUGAAAAGCCUGGCUGAGUGAUAACAGACAGGUUUCAAUAUGUGCACAAGGAUCUCCACACAGAGCUACAUGAAUUCAUAUGGACUGAAAUAAAAACGGUUUUACUGCAAUAACAGCUCCAUAAGGUAACUCCCAUUCCCAGCAACACACCCACUGUGUUUAAGGU
Oreochromis niloticus (Nile tilapia) is the source of this 1816-nucleotide long non-coding RNA. NCBI's taxonomy places the organism in Eukaryota, Metazoa, Chordata, Actinopteri, Cichliformes, Cichlidae. The record is from Ensembl.